Molecule: long non-coding RNA, 503 nt
Organism: Homo sapiens (human)
Lineage: Eukaryota; Metazoa; Chordata; Mammalia; Primates; Hominidae
Gene: TANK-AS1
Product: TANK antisense RNA 1
Source: Ensembl
AAAAAGCGUCAGCAGCGGAAGAGAAUCCUAUGUCAAGUGUAAAGGUCACUUGUGAGUCUUUGCUGGAUUUUUUUGCCAAACGAUAAAUAACCGGUUUUUUUGUGCGGACAUAAGUUUUCAUCUCCUUUGGAUAAAUACCAAGUAGUAUGAUUGCUGGAUCAUAAGUCUUCACAAUGGGAGAUGCAGAACAGCUGGCAGGAAUCAAUGUACUCUGUGUUUCUCAUGGGAGAAAGAAAGAACACUGAAGGAAACAAGGACUGUGCCAGGAGAGGUGAUUAAGCAAUUAGAAUAUUUUGAAGUCUAAAAUAACUGUAGUAUCAGGAGAACAACUGAACGAGAAAAUAAAUUACUGAGAGUAAAGCAGUCUGUAGAUUUUGGGAAGAUUCGUAGGUGUGUGAGAAACAAGACAUUUUGGAAUCUUAAUGUAAUCUGAGAAGUAAAAUAGACCUGUAUUCCUGUCAUUCUCUUUCUCAUUUUCUUCCUCCUCACCAAAUCAUGAUGUU